CAAUAAGUGUUUAUGGCACUUUAAAAAUCCAUACCCACCUUGUGUGCAAUGUCGACCUUUUUUGACCUUUCUCUUCCUUUGUUGGGGGAGAAAGAAAAAAAGGGUUCAUUUAUCCACAUCAAUGUUGUCUUUUUUUCUAGUCUACAUUCGAGUAAAUAAAACUCAAAUA
Molecule: unclassified non-coding RNA, 169 nt
Filed under: uncultured fungus
Lineage: Eukaryota; Fungi
Description: sequence contains ITS1
Source: RNAcentral